RNAcentral lists this non-coding RNA (45 nucleotides) under Trichobilharzia regenti. Lineage: Eukaryota; Metazoa; Platyhelminthes; Trematoda; Strigeidida; Schistosomatidae. The record is from RNAcentral.
AUCUAGCCGAUGAGUCCCUAAUGGGAUGAAAUGCACAUCCUGGAU